CAAGACCUUGCGCUUCUGGAGCGGCCGAUGUCUGAUUAGCUAGUUGGUGGGGUAAAGGCUUACCAAGGCUUCGAUCAGUAGCUGUCUGAGAGGACGACCAGCCACACUGGGACUGAGACACGGCCCAGACUCCUACGGGAGGCAGCAGUGGGGAAUUCUGGACAAUGGGGGAAACCCUGAUCCGGCCACGCCGCGUGAGUGAAGAAGGCCUUCGGGUUGUAAAGCUCUUUCGGCCGGAACGAAACGGUUACGGUUAAUAACCGUGACUACUGACGGUACCGGAAGAAGAAGCACCGGCUAGCUACGUGCCAGCAGCCGCGGUAAUACGUAGGGUGCGAGCGUUAAUCGGAAUUACUGGGCGUAAAGCGUGCGCAGGCGGUUUUGUAAGUCAGAUGUGAAAUCCCCGGGCUUAACCUGGGAACU
RNAcentral lists this ribosomal RNA (423 nucleotides) under uncultured Nitrosomonas sp. RNAcentral's name for it is "bacterial SSU rRNA". It matches the Rfam family "Bacterial small subunit ribosomal RNA", at positions 207 to 622 of the family's 1533-position model. Lineage: Bacteria; Pseudomonadati; Pseudomonadota; Betaproteobacteria; Nitrosomonadales; Nitrosomonadaceae. The record is from RNAcentral.